UCACCUACGGGAGGCAGCAGUGGGGGAUAUUGCACAAUGGGGGGAACCCUGAUGCAGCGACGCCGCGUGGGUGAAGGAGUAUUUCGGUAUGUAAAGCCCUAUCGGCAGGGAAGAAGCAAGACGGUACCCGACCAAGAAGCCCCGGCUAACUACGUGCCAGCAGCCGCGGUAAUACGUAGGGGGCGAGCGUUAUCCGGAAUUACUGGGGGUAAAGGGAGGGUAGACGGCGAGGUAAGCCUGAAGGGGAAGCCAGGGGGCCAACCGCGGGACUGCUUUGGG
RNAcentral lists this ribosomal RNA (279 nucleotides) under uncultured bacterium. Its description in RNAcentral is "partial 16S ribosomal RNA". It matches the Rfam family "Bacterial small subunit ribosomal RNA", at positions 335 to 630 of the family's 1533-position model. The record is from RNAcentral.